CUUGGUUUGUGACCACGCCCGACCAGCCAAUGAAAUAGUCCGGUUUUGGUAACUGGUCGUCCAGCUUGGGUUCUGGGUAGCAACAAUCCAGUACAUCUGGUGACGCCGCCACGUCUCUGUGGCAGUUUAUUUUGGGCGUCACGGCUGUUACCCAAAGUCAGGAGUAAUGUGUUUCAUUCGCAGACAUCUAAACCCCCAACCGCAGGCAUGUUUUCUUCCAGGGCAGAGGGCAAAUGCAAUUACAUCUGUGACCAAUUUGCACAGCUGGACGCUCAGUCUCCUGACAGAAACAUUUAUUUGAGAUUCGGGGGAGCUGGGUUCGCCAGACAGGAAGCAAGGUCCAGCAGGCAUUGUGUUGGCCAGUCGGUGAAUGCUUGCUAGCCCGCAGAACAAAACAGAAACUGUCACCGUCAACGUUGACAUUUCAUGGCUGAGAAGGAGAGUGUUCUUCCUACACACGAGGAGAGAUUUGAAGGCACAGACAAGAGUAAGAAUUUUGAAAACAAGAAGUGGUUGCUGCUGAGUCUGGUGCAAACCCAGAGCGCACAUUUUGCACAGACAGGCUGAGGAAGGCCGGCUGCCCCUUCCGUCCAUGGUAUGAUGGCCACGUCUUCCCACCCAGGCCUUUUCGCACAUCUCUUCGGACUCGUCAGCUUUUGAAGGAACAGAAAACGUUUUCAGAACCCGAGAAAAAGAAGUACCGGCUCUUCCAAAUUCAAGAGAGAAAAGUCUAAGCCGAAAUUAAAAUAGCAUUUGUCUUCUUAAGAAGUAUCGGAAACCACUCUGAUCUCUGGCGGGUUCCCUGUUACUUUGAAGCAUUCUGUGCCUCUCGCAUGUCUUAACGUCUGGGUAGGAAGACCUCAGAAGAGAUCUGUGAGUUUGUGCUUGCUUGUGGUGGCUGUUUGCUGUGCGGUGAAAACAAGGCACCCCAGACUUCAGAAGCAAAAUGAAAUAAACUUCUUGGUUCAUGCGCAAACUGUGCAGAAUGGGCUUUGUGUGGGAGCCGGCAAAGGUGGAAGUGCCAUUCAAAAGUUGCCAGAGCCCAAGAAUAGACUUGCCUUGGUGAGGCUUCUGGACUGCCUCCAGUUCCUAGCAAGAGCCAUGCCCGGCCUUCCUGAAGUGCACCAUUGAGAAAACGCCUUGAGAAUAGGUUGACUGACACGGGGAGCAACAUGGAGAGAAUGGCUUUAAUGAGCCAAAAAAUGUGGUUUCAAAUGCCCGUCUCCCAGUGUCACUGCUGGCCUUUGCCAGCAGAGGCAAAGUCUUGUUCACUGGCGCAAACUCCGAGAAACACCGAGCAAGCCUGCACCAACUCCAAGCCAGUCGGCAGCAUUCACAUUCAAGUCUAGAACUUUCGCUCUUCGGGAGGACGGAUAUGUAUGAGCUGAUGGGGAGCUGUUUGGCCUUGAAUACGGGCUAGCGUGCAGAGGGAGCCCUCAGGUCCCCAGCAGGGAGAGGUUUUGGUGGGGCCUUGCCCUUAGCAGCUGGAUUUGAUGGUCACCAAAUCACCAAACCACCGUGAGAUCAAGGAAGCGGUGCCAACAACAUGGAGAGAGUGUCUGGGAGGAGAGUCUGGAU
Molecule: long non-coding RNA, 1578 nt
Filed under: Cricetulus griseus (Chinese hamster)
Lineage: Eukaryota; Metazoa; Chordata; Mammalia; Rodentia; Cricetidae
Description: lncRNA (ENSCGRG00015038726.1)
Source: RNAcentral